This 374-nucleotide long non-coding RNA is filed under the name Aphidius gifuensis. Its description in RNAcentral is "uncharacterized LOC122857756". Lineage: Eukaryota; Metazoa; Arthropoda; Insecta; Hymenoptera; Braconidae. The record is from RNAcentral.
AGUAGUUUUUGAAGAAUCAUUUGUUGUAAUCGUUCAGCUGCGUUAUUGAAAAUCUGUUUAACCAUCAAGUGUCGUUGAUUCAACAUCAUUAUCGUCAUCAUCAACGCGGUUUUCAACAGAUUAAUCAUCAUUCUCUAUGACUGAAUGAUUUCAACGAAGUUAUUGAAAAAUUGUUUGUUGUCAUCAUUCAGUUGUUGAAAAUCUGUUUAACCCUCAGUGCCGUUGAUUCAACACCAACGUCAUCAACAUCAUUAUCACCGCGGGUUAUAACAGAUUAAUCAUCGUCCUCUCUAAUUGAAUAAUACCCAAUAAGAGAGGACAAAUAUCAUCUGAAAAUAUCUGUAAAUAUCUGUAAAUAUCUGUAAAUAUCUGAC